RNAcentral lists this ribosomal RNA (525 nucleotides) under Colletotrichum gloeosporioides. RNAcentral describes it as "eukaryotic LSU rRNA". The stretch from base 154 to 307 matches the Rfam family "5.8S ribosomal RNA". The record is from RNAcentral. Lineage: Eukaryota; Fungi; Ascomycota; Sordariomycetes; Glomerellales; Glomerellaceae.
AGCUUACACUCCCAACCCCUGUGAACAUACCUACUGUUGCCUCGGCGGAAUUGCCCCGGCCCGCCUCGUGGGCCCCGGAUCAGGCGCCCGCCUAGGAAACUUAACUCUUGUUUUAUUUUGGAAUCUUCUGAGUAGUUUUUACAAAUAAAUAAAAACUUUCAACAACGGAUCUCUUGGUUCUGGCAUCGAUGAAGAACGCAGCGAAAUGCGAUAAGUAAUGUGAAUUGCAGAAUUCAGUGAAUCAUCGAAUCUUUGAACGCACAUUGCGCCCGCCAGUAUUCUGGCGGGCAUGCCUGUCUGAGCGUCAUUUCAACCCUCAUGCCCCUAGGGCGUGGUGUUGGGGAUCGGCCAAAGCCCGCGAGGGACGGCCGGCCCCUAAAUCUAGUGGCGGACCCGUCGUGGCCUCCUCUGCGAAGUAGUGAUAUUCCGCAUCGGAGAGCGAUGAGCCCCUGCCGUUAAACCCCCAACUUUCCAAGGUUGACCUCAGAUCAGGUAGGAAUACCCGCUGAACUUAAGCAUAUCAAA